Rhinopithecus roxellana (golden snub-nosed monkey) is the source of this 65-nucleotide small nucleolar RNA. The record is from RefSeq and is a predicted model, not a curated record. Lineage: Eukaryota; Metazoa; Chordata; Mammalia; Primates; Cercopithecidae.
AGGGAAGUGAUGACACCUUUGUUGUGUGACACUGAUUUCUCUCGUAUUUGUGCUGGCUGAUCCUG